UACGUAGGGGGCUAGCGUUGUCCGGAAUCAUUGGGCGUAAAGAGCGUGUAGGCGGCCCGGUAAGUCCGCUGUGAAAGUCGGGGGGCUCAACCCUCGAAUGCCGGUGGAUACUGUCGGGCUAGAGUGCGGAAGAGGCGAGUGGAAUUCCUGGUGUAGCGGUGAAAUGCGCAGAUAUCAGGAGGAACACCGAUUGCGAAGGCAGCUCGCUGGGACGUAACUGACGCUGGAGACGCGAAAGCGUGGGGAGCAAACAGG
This 255-nucleotide ribosomal RNA is filed under the name uncultured bacterium. RNAcentral's name for it is "partial 16S ribosomal RNA". It matches the Rfam family "Bacterial small subunit ribosomal RNA", at positions 524 to 776 of the family's 1533-position model. The record is from RNAcentral.